Long non-coding RNA from Meriones unguiculatus (Mongolian gerbil), 1300 nucleotides. RefSeq lists it as uncharacterized. The transcript has 3 exons. Lineage: Eukaryota; Metazoa; Chordata; Mammalia; Rodentia; Muridae. The record is from RefSeq and is a predicted model, not a curated record.
UAAAGGCUGACUCAAGGCUGGACUUGUUAUAGGAUUGCUCAUCUAAGCGUUUUCGAAAGCUGUGUAGGACCAACAUUGGAAAAGAGACUGUGUUGAGUACGCAGAGAAGAAAAUUGUUCAGAGAGGACUUGGUCCACCCCCAGGUUGGGGAGAGUCAUAUAAGCACACAGAAGUGUGUCUCCUGGACUAUAUAAAAUAGCAUCAAGUCUGAUAAUUAAGACCUACAUCUACAGACAUCAAGAAGCGUCUCAGAGCUGGAGAGGACAGGGUCUCCACAAGGAGAGCAACAGAACAAGAAAAUUUGAACACAGGGAACUUCCCAAAGACUCAUACUCCAACCAAGGACUAUUCAUAGAGAUAACCUAGAACCCCUGCACAGAUGGAGCCCAGGGCAGUUCAGAGUCCAAUUGGGUUACAUAGUAAUGUGAAGAGGGACUGCCUCUGACAUAAUCUGAUUGGCCUGCUCUUUGAUCACCUCCCCCUGGGGGGGAGCAGCCUUACCAGGCCAUAGUAGAGGACAAUGCAGCCACUUCUGAUGUGAACUGAUGGACUAAGAUCAGAAAGGAGAGGAGAACCUCCCCUAUCAGUGGACUUGGGGAGUGUCAUGCAUGCAGAGGGAGGAGGGAAGGUGGGAUUGAGAGGGGCUGAGGGAGGGGGCUAUAGCUGGGAUACAAAGUGAAUAACCUAUAAUCAAUGUAAAAAAUAAAAAGAAAAAAGAAAAUAAUAAUUUAAAAAUACUUCUUUCAUCCAGUUGUUACUGAUAAUACUUAGUGAAUGUGUUACUGAACACGUGCCCGGCUUUCAUAUCUGUCUUCUUUUUGACACGUGCUAAGUAUAUGAAGAAUUCUGGGAGAAUAAUCAGCACUGCGCUUACACUGUAUGCGAAAUAAUGUUCGGUCACCGUGGCUGUCAGAUGAGCUAAUGCCUUUCUUACACAAGCACUUGACAGUAACCACCUGAUAACUGUAGAAAACAGCAUAUAAAUAUAUUAUUUUAGCUCAAGUGCUUUCUGGUGCUGAGAUGGAACACAGCUCUGAUGGCAGUGGAGUGUGACUAGAGCAUGUUAACUGUGCAUUGUCUUCUUGCUUUGAGAUGCAAAAUCAUAUGGUUCCUUACAAAAAAAAAAAAGCUAAAAUAUGCAGCUGAAGUGAAAACACUGAACUGGACCACUGGACUAGCAUUUGUAUAAUGCUGUAUUUUUGAUAUACUCUUCGCCAUUGGAAGCAAUAUUUUCACUGCUUCUCUUUAUUGAAUAUUGAUUAAUUCAUUCGUUGCACUUGUGCCCAGAAUAUAACUUGUA